GUGUCAGAACUUAACUGGAGGACCCCCAGUUCAUGCCGGUGUCCAUGUCUGGGCAGUUUGCUCGGUGGUGGGGAGAAAUCCCCACACAUUUGGUCGUAGAAGCCUUCUGUGUUGAUUGUUGUGGCGCGGCGUGAGAACAGAAGAACUGUUGGAGUUUUUUCACCCUCAGAGAGUGUUCUCACUUCUGGCUCCACUUCCUCCCAAGGUGUCUGGGGCACGAGUUCUGCCGGAUGGCAGCGUAACUGGCUUUGGUGUUGAUUUAUGAGUCACCACUGGGGUGAGAUGAGGGAGGCAGACUCAAGUACGUGAUUACAGGGCACCAAGAGACCACCUGCCCAACAGAUCUUCACUCAUUGCCUUACCAAACCUGAAAUUACCUUAGCAAAAGCAAGUAAAUGUGGCCACUCUAGGGCCCCGACCUGGAUUCCUAGCCAGACCAGCCACUGGUGCUCUCUAUCUGAUGCAGCCAGGUUGGUCUCUCUCAACCUCCCCAAACAUGCCCAUGCCUUCCUGCUCCUCUCUACCUGGGCAUGGGCUAUGCCCACCUCCAGGAGGUCCACCAUGAAGGCGUGAGCCCAGUAAUAUGGAAAUGUCUGUUAUCAGGGCCUUUAGGGUAUCCUGUGAUGGUGGGAAGGGGAUGCUAGCACGGGGCCAGGAACAGCAGGAGGUUUGAGGCUGCAUUGGAGAAGGACAGAGCUGGGCUCUUGAAUCCUAAGGCUUUCAUCUCAGGCAUGAAUCUGGUGACAUCAGGACAUUCUCCAGAGCCCAUUGGUACAGGCAGAUUAGGGCAGGUUUGAGAGAUUCUAGAAUCAGGUAGAUAGUACAUUUUGGCAUGUCUAGAUAAUUGAGCUUAGAAAUCAAGCAAUCCAGCCCCUCACUUUACAGUUAAGGAAAUGGAGGUUCAGAGAGAUUCUGAGCUCUUCCCCAUCUUACAUCUGGAAGAGGCCAGGCCAGGGCUCAGAUCCAGGGCCUUUCAUGAAGCAGCCAGGGCCACAUGCCUGGAUCACAGCUGGAAAGCUAUGCCCUAGCAGGGCUGCUGUUUGCAGCUGUUCAGGCCUUGCCUUGCUUUUUAUAGACUGAAGUAUGAGCAACACUGCCUGGGGGUGAGCAGUGCACACACUGCACCACUGUCCGGGGAGGCUCUGAGUCAGAGUCAAAGCAAAGGCCUGAGAGCUCCCAUCAGAGAGGUCCCAUCUCUUGGGCUGGGCUGGGUAUGUGGUGAAAAUGGAGGCAGGAGGGUGACUCGGAACCUGGACAGCAGUGAUGGGUCCCCAUCCAUGGACACUGGAAUUUAGGGUGGAAGACUGGCAUUUGGAAAGGCAGGCUGACUUCGCUGGACUGACAGCUGGACAGAGAGCUGGCUCGGCCUUCCUUGGUGUGGGAACUGCCUGGGAGACUCAGCAUAAAGGAGCAGAGGUGGAUCGCUCCUGCAGGCAUGUGGUUCCCAAAACAGAAAAGGGGACAGUGAGAAAACUGAGGCACAGAGAAGUUGAAAGCUGCCUAAGGUUCUGCAAUGAAUGAGUGCCACUGUCAGAAUUCCAACACAAAGGACCAGCUGCAGAGCCCAGGAUCUUAACUACUCUGCUAAUCCUUGUGGGCAAAAAUUAUGCAUAUGUAAAUGCUCUUUGCUUAAAUACAGAUGUGGAUGGAUGAACGUAUGUAGGUCAGCCUACCACCAUUUUUCCCUUUUCCUCUUGCUUUUUUUUUUCUUUACAGGAAAAUUACUUGUUUUAUUUCAUAAUAUAUUUGCAUGCUUUUCCAGCUAUAAACAUAGAGAAUUAAGUUCAUCUUUGACAAUAGUUGUCUCAUAAUUCAUGGUCAAAUAUGCUAUAUUUAGCCAUUUCAUUACUCACAGGCAUUUAGAUUCUUUCC
RNAcentral lists this long non-coding RNA (1872 nucleotides) under Homo sapiens (human). RNAcentral describes it as "HSALNT0309524". The record is from RNAcentral. Lineage: Eukaryota; Metazoa; Chordata; Mammalia; Primates; Hominidae.